UGGGUCGUCGCCAAGCGGUAAGGCCCUGGGUUUUGAUCCCAGUAUGCGCAGGUUCGAAUCCUGCCGACCCAGCCA
Molecule: transfer RNA, 75 nt
Filed under: Gammaproteobacteria bacterium
Lineage: Bacteria; Pseudomonadati; Pseudomonadota; Gammaproteobacteria
Description: tRNA-Gln
Rfam family: tRNA
About the family: Transfer RNA (tRNA) molecules are approximately 80 nucleotides in length. Their secondary structure includes four short double-helical elements and three loops (D, anti-codon, and T loops).
Source: RNAcentral